GCAAACUUGCCUAACUGCCCUCCGAAGGCAAAGGUCACACGUUCGAAUCGUGUCGGGUGCGCCA
RNAcentral lists this transfer RNA (64 nucleotides) under Bradyrhizobium sp. CIR18. RNAcentral describes it as "tRNA-Ser". Lineage: Bacteria; Pseudomonadati; Pseudomonadota; Alphaproteobacteria; Hyphomicrobiales; Nitrobacteraceae. The record is from RNAcentral.